Molecule: ribosomal RNA, 30 nt
Filed under: Enterocytozoon bieneusi
Lineage: Eukaryota; Fungi; Microsporidia; Enterocytozoonidae
Description: partial large subunit ribosomal RNA
Source: RNAcentral
CAGUAGGGUGCCAUCAAGAGGUGUAUUUGG